This 489-nucleotide ribosomal RNA is filed under the name uncultured bacterium. RNAcentral's name for it is "SSU rRNA". It matches the Rfam family "Bacterial small subunit ribosomal RNA", at positions 26 to 518 of the family's 1533-position model. The record is from RNAcentral.
AGGAUGAACGCUAGCGGCAGGCUUAACACAUGCAAGUCGAGGGGUAUAGUAGCAAUACUAGAGACCGGCAAACGGGUGCGGAACACGUACAGAACCUACCUUGAUCUGGGGCAUAGCCCGAAGAAAUUCGGAUUAACUCCCCAUAAUAUAGAUGAGUGGCAUCACUUGACUAUUAAAAAUUUAUUGGAUCGAGAUGGCUGUGCGUCCCAUUAGCUAGUUGGUAGGGUAACGGCCUACCAAGGCGACGAUGGGUAGCUGGUGUGAGAGCACGACCAGCCACACGGGCACUGAGACACGGGCCCGACUCCUACGGGAGGCAGCAGUGAGGAAUAUUGGUCAAUGGACGCAAGUCUGAACCAGCCAUGCCGCGUGAAGGAUGAAGGCCUUCUGGGUUGUAAACUUCUUUUACCUGGGAAGAAACCCCGAUUUUCUAAUCGGGUUGACGGUACCAGAGGAAUAAGCACCGGCUAACUCCGUGCCAGCAGCCGC